This 85-nucleotide transfer RNA is filed under the name Felis catus (domestic cat). It matches the Rfam family "tRNA". From Rfam's summary of the family: Transfer RNA (tRNA) molecules are approximately 80 nucleotides in length. Lineage: Eukaryota; Metazoa; Chordata; Mammalia; Carnivora; Felidae. The record is from Rfam by way of RNAcentral.
GCCUGGGUGGCUCAGUUGGUUGAGCAUCCAACUUCUGCUCAGGUCAUGAUCUCACGGUUUGUGGGUUCAAGCCCCACAUCAGGCU